AUCCUUAUGCACGGGAAAUACGCAUAUCAGUGAGGAUUCGUCCGAGAUUGUGUUUUUGCUGGUUGAAAUUUAAUUAUAAACCAGACCGUCUCCUCAUGGUCAAUUCUGUGUUCGCUUUUGAACACUUCAGGACUAUGUAGGGAAUUUUUGGAAUACUUUUUUUUCGUUUACCGAUAUUCAUUCUUUCAAAGAAACUUUUCAUCUUUCUUUGGAAGU
RNAcentral lists this small nuclear RNA (216 nucleotides) under Saccharomyces paradoxus NRRL Y-17217. Its description in RNAcentral is "U4 spliceosomal RNA". The stretch from base 1 to 162 matches the Rfam family "U4 spliceosomal RNA". From Rfam's summary of the family: U4 small nuclear RNA (U4 snRNA) is a component of the major U2-dependent spliceosome. The structure of U4 snRNA from yeast and human has been reported. Lineage: Eukaryota; Fungi; Ascomycota; Saccharomycetes; Saccharomycetales; Saccharomycetaceae. The record is from Rfam by way of RNAcentral.